Molecule: ribosomal RNA, 253 nt
Filed under: uncultured bacterium
Lineage: Bacteria
Description: partial 16S ribosomal RNA
Rfam family: Bacterial small subunit ribosomal RNA
Source: RNAcentral
UACGGAGGGUGCGAGCGUUGUUCGGAAUUACUGGGCGUAAAGCGCGUGUAGGCGGCUGCUUAAGUCUGAUGUGAAAGCCCGAGGCUUACCCUCGGAAGCGCAUUGGAUACUGGGCAGCUCGAGUAUCGGAGAGGAGGGUGGAAUUCCUGGUGUAGCGGUGAAAUGCGUAGAUAUCAGGAAGAACACCGGUGGCGAAGGCGGCCCUCUGGACGAAUACUGACGCUGAGACGCGAAAGCGUGGGGAGCAAACAGG